Molecule: unclassified non-coding RNA, 285 nt
Filed under: Hevea brasiliensis (rubber tree)
Lineage: Eukaryota; Viridiplantae; Streptophyta; Magnoliopsida; Malpighiales; Euphorbiaceae
Source: RNAcentral
UUUAACUUCAAUCUUUUUAUUCUUAAAUAUUUUUCCUACAAUUUUGCAUUCUCAUUCUGUUAUUUAGGUACCAAACGCACCCUUGGUUUUAGCACUGUGUGAGAUUAUCAUCCAUCUUUAGUUCUUGUUCAUUUAUAAGUCUUUUCAAGCAUAUCUAAUCUUAAGUCUAUAUCAUGACUAAUUUUAGAUGUUUUUGAAAUUUGGAUUGCCAGAUUUACGUUUUGAUCUGUGUUACCCUUCUCAAACAGGAAAAAUGGAACAACUCUUCAAGGCAACAUCUAAAUG